This is a long non-coding RNA of Neopelma chrysocephalum (saffron-crested tyrant-manakin), 619 nucleotides long. RefSeq lists it as uncharacterized. The record is from RefSeq and is a predicted model, not a curated record. The transcript is spliced from 5 exons. NCBI's taxonomy places the organism in Eukaryota, Metazoa, Chordata, Aves, Passeriformes, Pipridae.
CGCGAGUGCCUGAGCAAGCGCGGGCACCGAGUCACGUUCGCCCCUCCGAGGGAUGCUAGCUAGCCCCUUUCCCAGCAAAUCCAAGUACCUCUCUCAUCAGCUGGCACUAUUAAAAGAAGGGCUCAAAUCUUGCCGAUGAUAUUUUGGUGUUGUCUGGAAGGUACCAAUAUAUCUGAGGAUGAAGAAGGGCUUGUUGUGCAGGCUUAAAGGGGUGAUAUAACUCAGUAUGCAGGGUUCACAAUCACCUGGCUACUAUGGGAAAUGCAGCCAUUUUAAAGGCAUCCUGUGGUUGUCAGUAAUGUUGUUUCCAUUUCCCCAAAUCCAAUGGUGCUCAGGGUGAUGAAAGUGAAGUAAAAGCCUUCUCCAUAGCUCCAGCCUUCUACAUAACUGAAGACUAAUGGCGGGAACACUAGAAAAAGCAAAGUCCCAGUGGACAGGAAGAUGGCCACUGCCAGUGUUUGAACCACCUGAAAGAUAAAGCGAAGAUGGCAGCUAAGCAGCAUGGAGCAGUUGUCUUGUUGAAAUUGCUGGGUCUGUUUUUUUCUUGAAUCACAAACCCACUCCAGCUGGGAGCAGCGGCAAAAAAAGGAAGGAUAAGCCAAUGCUUCCAAGCACUGCA